Molecule: ribosomal RNA, 1503 nt
Filed under: Acinetobacter sp. H(2012)
Lineage: Bacteria; Pseudomonadati; Pseudomonadota; Gammaproteobacteria; Moraxellales; Moraxellaceae
Also listed under: 1 other name
Description: bacterial SSU rRNA
Rfam family: Bacterial small subunit ribosomal RNA
Source: RNAcentral
AGAGUUUGAUCGUGGCUCAGAUUGAACGCUGGCGGCAGGCUUAACACAUGCAAGUCAAGCGGAGUGAUGGUGCUUGCACUAUCACUUAGCGGCGGACGGGUGAGUAAUGCUUAGGAAUCUGCCUAUUAGUGGGGGACAACAUUUCGAAAGGAAUGCUAAUACCGCAUACGUCCUACGGGAGAAAGCAGGGGAUCUUCGGACCUUGCGCUAAUAGAUGAGCCUAAGUCGGAUUAGCUAGUUGGUGGGGUAAAGGCCUACCAAGGCGACGAUCUGUAGCGGGUCUGAGAGGAUGAUCCGCCACACUGGGACUGAGACACGGCCCAGACUCCUACGGGAGGCAGCAGUGGGGAAUAUUGGACAAUGGGCGCAAGCCUGAUCCAGCCAUGCCGCGUGUGUGAAGAAGGCCUUAUGGUUGUAAAGCACUUUAAGCGAGGAGGAGGCUACUUUAGUUAAUACCUAGAGAUAGUGGACGUUACUCGCAGAAUAAGCACCGGCUAACUCUGUGCCAGCAGCCGCGGUAAUACAGAGGGUGCAAGCGUUAAUCGGAUUUACUGGGCGUAAAGCGCGCGUAGGCGGCUAAUUAAGUCAAAUGUGAAAUCCCCGAGCUUAACUUGGGAAUUGCAUUCGAUACUGGUUAGCUAGAGUGUGGGAGAGGAUGGUAGAAUUCCAGGUGUAGCGGUGAAAUGCGUAGAGAUCUGGAGGAAUACCGAUGGCGAAAGGCAGCCAUCUGGCCUAACACUGACGCUGAGGUGCGAAAGCAUGGAGAGCAAACAGGAUUAGAUACCCUGGUAGUCCAUGCCGUAAACGAUGUCUACUAGCCGUUGGGGCCUUUGAGGCUUUAGUGGCGCAGCUAACGCGAUAAGUAGACCGCCUGGGGAGUACGGUCGCAAGACUAAAACUCAAAUGAAUUGACGGGGGCCCGCACAAGCGGUGGAGCAUGUGGUUUAAUUCGAUGCAACGCGAAGAACCUUACCUGGCCUUGACAUAGUAAGAACUUUCCAGAGAUGGAUUGGUGCCUUCGGGAACUUACAUACAGGUGCUGCAUGGCUGUCGUCAGCUCGUGUCGUGAGAUGUUGGGUUAAGUCCCGCAACGAGCGCAACCCUUUUCCUUAUUUGCCAGCGAGUAAUGUCGGGAACUUUAAGGAUACUGCCAGUGACAAACUGGAGGAAGGCGGGGACGACGUCAAGUCAUCAUGGCCCUUACGGCCAGGGCUACACACGUGCUACAAUGGUCGGUACAAAGGGUUGCUACCUAGCGAUAGGAUGCUAAUCUCAAAAAGCCGAUCGUAGUCCGGAUUGGAGUCUGCAACUCGACUCCAUGAAGUCGGAAUCGCUAGUAAUCGCGGAUCAGAAUGCCGCGGUGAAUACGUUCCCGGGCCUUGUACACACCGCCCGUCACACCAUGGGAGUUUGUUGCACCAGAAGUAGGUAGUCUAACCGCAAGGAGGACGCUUACCACGGUGUGGCCGAUGACUGGGGUGAAGUCGUAACAAGGUAUCCGUA